ACACACAGCGGUAUGUGCAUUGUCGCCUGUGGCCUAUAUAUUUUUUUAUUUAGUAUAAUACGGGAAAUUUACGGGAAAAUACUAAUACGGGAGGACGGCGGGAAAGAGGAGUAAAAUACGGUAGUUUCCCGGCCAAAACGGGAGACUUGACAGGUAUGCUGUAUUAGUGCUGGGCAGAUACGGUAUACCGUAUGGGAAAAUUUUGAACCGGUAUGCGUUUUUCACAUACCGCCAAACCACUAGAGGCGCUGUGGAGUGCUGGCCAGAACAGCACUAUCAUGGAAGCAGACACAGACGCUUGUUAACGCUAGCCAGUUAGCAUAACAAAAUAAAACAACAGCAAACCGCUAUUAUUCCCUCAAAAUAAUUCCCCCACACAAGCCCAGAAACGGACCUGAGUGCAGAAUCAUUUAAUCAGCACAAGAGAUAAACUCCCUAAAACUCUGGAAAUGAGCUUCUGCAGCUAAUAUUCACCUUCUCACAGGUGGUAAUGAAUUGGAGAGGUGUGAGCCCUGAGCCUCUGCUGCUGUCCAGGAGCACCAUGUUUAGAGAGAGAGAGAGAGAUGGAAAGAGAGUGCACUAGCAGAAGCAGUAAGGCUAUAAAAAAGAGAGACAAAGCAGCUCUUGGCAGGGGAGGUGAUUCUCCAGAGGAAGACAGAAACUGAAAGGUCUCUGAAAUGGCGUUUGAUGUCACCACUGCUCUCUACAGAUGUGCGCUCCAAAACCCAACACACAACGUUCCUCACUGUCCUGCUGCCACAGAGCCUACACAACACACACACACACACACACACACUUUAGAUUUAGAGCUGUCUUGUUACAGGCAGCUCUGCAUUUCUGCAAUUUCUACAGCCACCCUAACAAACACCCACACAAACAAACACACACACACACACACACACAAAGAUCACCUCAGAUCCUCCACUCAGGCUUUUGCUCACUUUGCAGGUAAAUCAUAAAAUGGAGGGACUAUAAACCCAACAUAUUUAGUC
Molecule: long non-coding RNA, 992 nt
Organism: Astyanax mexicanus (Mexican tetra)
Lineage: Eukaryota; Metazoa; Chordata; Actinopteri; Characiformes; Acestrorhamphidae
Exons: 3
Source: RefSeq, a predicted model, not a curated record